GGAAAUGUUGAUGUCUUUUCUAAAAAAAUAGAGACAGGGUCUUUCUCUGUUGCCUAGGCUGGAGUGCAGUGUCAUGAUCAUAGCUCACUGUAAUCUCAAGCUCCUGGGCUCAAGCGAUCCUCCUGCCUCCCCCGCCUGAGUAGCUGGGACUGCAGGCAUGCUCCACCAUGUCCAGGUAAUUUUUAAAAAAUGUUUAUAGAGACAGGGG
RNAcentral lists this long non-coding RNA (208 nucleotides) under Homo sapiens (human). RNAcentral describes it as "non-protein coding lnc-SPATA17-7:1". Lineage: Eukaryota; Metazoa; Chordata; Mammalia; Primates; Hominidae. The record is from RNAcentral.